GGAACAAAAAGUAAAUAAAAAGACCCUAAGGACUUAAAGACAAAUAGACCUAAGCACAAAUUGGUAAAAUAUACAAAAUGUAAACCUAGACUCUAAACCUAUAAGACGGUAAGGAGCUAAAAUACACAAAAAGCAAAAAAAGAAGGACACGCCUAAAAUAUCAAUAGAAAAAGCGUCUGAAAGAGAGCAUCCGCAACAAUACAGAGGAGACCCCCCUCCUCCAAGAUCUCGUCUUCCUCCUCCACCCAAACGACCCCUCGAUUCCUCCUCUCUUCACCAGCAGCGAGCUUGCCAUUACACCCCAAAACAACGACCCAGCCAUCCCCUUCAUCUUCCUUGCAACAACUCUCCUUCAAAAAACCUCCAUUAACACCAGCUGCAAAUUAGCGACUGAACAACCAUGAACACUGGCCAUUGUCGCACCUUUUAACCACGAAAAUCUGCUGCCAAACACUAGUCAAGAGUGUUGCUGAACAGCAUGAAAACCACCUGUAAACAGUGACUCAAAUGCUACCUCUUUCACCGAGAAACGGUCUUGAAAGAGUCCCAAAAACCAUUUCACCUGAGCUUUGAGGUUGUUAGCGAGGUUGCCAUUCGUGGUUCCUAUGGGAGUUUCUGUUGCGAUGCUUGUUUUCCGUUUGGUUUAGAUAUUGGGGUUCGUUGUCACAUUUGUACGUGUUAACUGAAAAAAUCAGUUUGGAGAAUCUAUCUCGU
RNAcentral lists this long non-coding RNA (714 nucleotides) under Nicotiana benthamiana. RNAcentral describes it as "long non-coding RNA (NBEN_LNC022146)". The record is from RNAcentral. Lineage: Eukaryota; Viridiplantae; Streptophyta; Magnoliopsida; Solanales; Solanaceae.